GAUGAAGAACGCAGCGAAAUGCGAUAAGUAAUGUGAAUUGCAGAAUUCAGUGAAUCAUCGAAUCUUUGAACGCACAUUGCGCCCGCCAGUAUUCUGGCGGGCAUGCCUGUUCGAGCGUCAUUACAACCCUCAGGCCCCCGGGCCUGGCGUUGGGGAUCGGCGGAAGCCCCCUGCGGGCACAACGCCGUCCCCCAAAUACAGUGGCGGUCCCGCCGCAGCUUCCAUUGCGUAGUAGCUAACACCUCGCAACUGGAGAGCGGCGCGGCCACGCCGUAAAACACCCAACUUCUGAAUGUUGACCUCGAAUCAGGUAGGAAUACCCGCUGAACUUAAGCAUAUCGAUAAGCGGAGGA
Molecule: unclassified non-coding RNA, 353 nt
Filed under: soil metagenome
Description: partial contains 5.8S ribosomal RNA, internal transcribed spacer 2, and large subunit ribosomal RNA
Rfam family: 5.8S ribosomal RNA (bases 1-120)
Source: RNAcentral